Salmo salar (Atlantic salmon) is the source of this 5091-nucleotide non-coding RNA. The record is from RefSeq and is a predicted model, not a curated record. NCBI's taxonomy places the organism in Eukaryota, Metazoa, Chordata, Actinopteri, Salmoniformes, Salmonidae.
UGUGCCAUUACAUCAUCAUCACCUUCCAAUCAGCAUGCAGCAAGAUGCCCAGUGCCUCAUUGAACCCUAAAAUAUCAGACAGAGGCAUUGCAGCCUGUAAGAAUUGAAUAUAUCUGCUUCAAGUAUGAAUGUUUCACAACCAGAUUUAUCACUUUGGCUAGUCUUGGUGGCAGGCAGCGAGGAGAGGGUACAUUGAAUUUGCUGCAUACUAAUGCAGUCAUUCUCCACAGACUUCAUGUUUAUUUCAGUAUCGCAUUCCUCCCUUGACAAGGCCGCAGACACGCACACAUGCACUCUUUAUUUCUCUGAGCCGUCAGAGAGCAAACGGAGAAACGCACAGUUAUGACUAUAACUACUGUUCCCUGAAGGAGGGAAUUAGCUAUAACACACUAUGAAGAGUCAACAACCAAUCCUAUGCACCUGAAGAAAACUGAAAUCACACCCAACGGACCAAUGGAUGCCGAGCACGCCCUCGGAAGCCCCUCCUUCCUGGCUAUAAUACCGGGGCUCGCAAUAAUUUCCUUAUUCCCUCCUUUAGGGGAACAGUAGUUAUAUUCAUAACUGUACGUUCCCUUUCAGUUGGUCACUCUGUAUAACAUACUAUGGGUUACAUACAAUCAUGCCCAAAGCCAGCUCAGAGGGUACCAAACUAGGAGGCUCACCGCAGCCCAAGCACACACAGGUUCCACCUGCUCCAAAAAGAGGUUACAGAAGACACCUUUUUCCCUACUACUUAACUGUGAAGCAUGAACUGUCAGAGCCUCAUUAGGCCUGAACUGUCAGAUCCCCAUUUAGGGAACCAGAACCUGCUGCAACUUGGCUACAAGCACAGACUCGCUGCCACUGCAGCCCAAGUCCAUAGACCCAACUAUUCCAAGAACAAUACUUACCAUACGAGCCUGAAAUGUCAGAACUACAAAACAACAGAACACCUGUGGGGAAUUGGUAAAGUGUACACACGUUCGCAUAGCAUCAACCAGAGUCGAUGAACCAUGGCAGCUCGAGGCUCAAACCCACAGGAAACCUGCAGUAACCUGGAAACAGUGUACUCACACGCUGCCACGGCAGCCCAAGGCUCAAACCCACAGGGGAACUGUGGUAACACGGAUAAAUGUGAAAUCUGCACGCUGACUAACACACACUCCCAGACCCAGUGUAACAGUUUUGCUUCCGUCUCUCUCCUCGCCACAACCUGGGCUCAAACCAGGGGCCCUCUGAACACAUCAACAACUGCCUCCCAUGAAGCCUUGUUACCUAUCGUUUCACAAAAGCCUCAGCCCUUGCAGAGCAAGGGAAACAACUACUUCAAGGUCUCAGAGCGAGUGACGUCACUGAUUGAAAAGCUAUUAGCGUGCACCCCGCUAAUUAGCUAGCCAUUUCACAUCGGUUACACCAGCCAUAAGAACAACAUGAGCCACAGGGAGCAGUUACAUCCAAGCAAUAUAACCUCACAAAGGUAUAUGGGGAACCCCAACUCGCUACAGCACAGAUAUCAACAAUUAUCAUACACCUGAACACUGCCCAAGAAGCCGCCACACCCCUAGUAGAGUGAGCUUGCACACCACUAGGCAACCCUUGUCCUUUGUCACAGGCCAGGGAGAUUGCCUCCACAAUCCAAUGAGAAAGACGCUGCUUAAAAAGCGCCCUACCCAGAGUUGGAUUAGCGAAAGAGACAAAAAACUGGUCACAACGCGGAUAUCCUUGGUCCUAUCCAUAUACGUGCGUAAAGCGCACACACAGGCCAUGCAACCUGCGUUGUUCACUGGAAGCAAACGGAGGAGGUGAGAAAGGGAAAGUUCGAAUGCCAGAACCUGUAAGAUAUAGGCAUAACCUUGGGAGCAAACUGCAUUAGGAAUCAAUACACUUUGGAGUCAAUACUGUAUGCGCAAGAUCCCCAAUGCCCUUGGCUGAGACAUAGGCCAUGAGCAGGGCAGUCUUGUAGGAAAGGACCUCCACAUCCACAGACUCCAAUGGUUCAAACGGAGGCUCAUACAGAGUAUCCAGGACCAACGCCAGAUCCCAGGUCUUUGCCAUAGGCUUAGACCCUGAUCCGAGCCUACACACGUCUUUCAGGAACCGCACCACCAGAGGAUGAGACCCCAGGGUAGAGCCGUCCAUCGCUACCUGAAACGUUGAAAUGGCUGACAUAUAAACCUGCUCAAAAAGCUCUUGCAAGAACAUCAAAAUGUCCACCAAAGAGCUCUGAAAAGGAGAAACUCCCUCACCAUGACAUCCACCCUCAAACGCGUGCCACUUAUAUGUACACAACCCUCUUGUAGAGGGUGCACGCGUCGACUGUAUAGUCGUAAUCAGGUUUGAGGAUAAACUCCUAGCCAUCAAAUUCCACCUUUCAGGGGCCAAACCCACAGAUCCCAUAUCAAUGGUCAUGGGAGCCAAAUCCUUCCGUGGGACAAUAGAUCCCAAUGGCACAGAAUGCCCCACAGGUCCCCGCCCAACAGGCGGAUGCUCUUCGGGAACAGAGACUCUUGAUGGACUUUCUCCACAGUGCCUUGAAUCAGGUCCACCAGAGGAAUGCACAGAGCAGGCUUAGAGGCUAUUGAUACGCCAAAGCAUUAUUUCCCAACAGAGCGCCCAGAUCCCUUAUUAAGAACAACAGACAACAAUGUGCGUUUUCUCACGAUGUGUAAAGUCUACGUCAGCCCUGCCGAACUGGUCCCAUAUCUGGGCCACCACUGAGGGAUGCAGUCUCCACUCCGUAGAGCUAGGAUCCCUCCUAGAAAGUAGAUCCGCACCCACGUUAACAGAUCUGGGAGAUACGUUGCCCUGAGCGACAGGAAAUGCGCACUGCUCCAUACGAGCAGAUAACGGGCCAGAUUUAGGAGAGAGUGAGAGUGAGUCACUCCCUGUCUGUUGAUGUACUCCACCACCGUCGGACCUUACCAACACAUGCUGGCCCUCCAACAUCGGAAGGAAACGCCUCAGCGCUAGCAAAACAGUCAGUAGCUCUAGGUAAUUGAUAUGCAGCGCCCUUUGCUCUGUUGACCAAAUCCCUCUUUCUGAGUAGUCCACACACAGCAUUACCCCUCUCAGUAAGGAUGAGUCUGUUGUGAUCACCCUGUGGUACACUACCCGGCCCAUGAGAACCCCCUGCAACAGCAGUUGCGGGUCUCUCCAAGGAGUCAAGGCCCAAAGGCACGACAGGGAUAUCUUGAGCGAGAUGCGUCCAGACACGUAGCAAUCAACCAGCACUGAAAGAGACACAUCAAUUGAAGUCCCAGAGGGACCACAGCUAUCAUAGAGGCCUUCAGACCCAAUAACCGCAGGCACAAGCAAAAAGGCACCAAGUGCCCCAGCUGAAACCAUGCCAGACAGUGCUGGAAUGCGACGCUCCUCUGUUGAGACAAAAACGCAUGAUUCAGAACCAAGUCCAGAACUAGACCCAGAAACUGAAUGCACAACUUUUUCUGUGAUUUACGAUGAAUCCCAGCUACUGAAUAUGGGAAACCAGCAUGGAAGUGUGUAGCUCCAACUUUUCCCUCGACGCCGCUACGACCAGCCAAAUGUACAGAUAAGCCAAUACUCUUAUCCCCUGGCACCGCACCGGUGCCAAAGCCACCUGAACCACCAUAAAAAAGGUGUGGGCAUCCUUAAGAUCUAUGGACGUGAACCAAUCGCUGGGACACGCAAUGGCUGCAAUAGCCGGAGAAGUGUGAGUAUUUUGAACUUGCAACCUUGAGGUGCAUAUUUAAAACAUGCAAGUCCAGGAUGGGACGCAACGUUCCAUCGCUCUUGGGAACUAAGAAGUACGAGCUAUACCAACCGCUCUGUACUUCUGACACAGGGACCACCCGAAUAGCCUGCUUUUGAAGGAGAUCUCCUCUCUCCAGGCAGGCGCUAGGACCUCGGGGACUGACGACGUAAUGACGCCACGAAAAAGAGGAGGAUUCACAGCGAACUGCAGACCGUACACCCUUGUUUCCGUCCUCAUCACCCAUGGUGACUGCACAUGCCCGCCACUGGAUGGAGCAUGCUGCCAGUCUUCCAUACAUUAUCUCAAGGGGCAGAGUGCCACCCUGAGAACUGGGAUAAUUUCGAUUUUUUGUCAAGCUGUUUUCAUAUCCAUCACUCUUGACAAUCAUGUGUCUGAAUGUGGGGAAGGAACUAUGCGUUCUGAUGCCACAUCGCAUUUGGGGACACCCAUGCUUGGAUUAGCCACCUUGCUAGACUCUGGAGCCAAAUAACGUGCCACUCAUUGGCAAAAUAUUUAAACAUGGGUAAGCGACAUUUCACCGCUGCCGGCACAGGAGGUAAAUACCUUCCCCCACACCUGGAGGAACUCCGCUGUGGCGGAGAGAUAAGCACCAUCAAAGGCACAUUCACCACCAAUGGUUCACUCUCCCUCGCCAAAUCCAAAGCCGGGGCUUUAGGCUGCCCCGGUCUGAUGUCAUCCAAUUUACACUCUGAAAACCCUCCAGAACCAAUCAGGGAUAGUAUAUCACUCCAUGGAAUCCAGACUCUGAACAUUGUCAGAGAAAUCGAAAUGAGCCUAACUCAGCUAAAAUGACACCCAUAUCAACUCCAAUCAUCAAUCUUCCUCACAGUCAGCCCAACUCCGAAUAGAAGUUGAACUCAGCCAGAGCAGUGGUCACACGAACCUCCACAUGCGGUGGAGGUUCAAACUCGGCUGGUUAGCUUUUUUGAACUGACUCUUACCACUGGCCUUCUUACUCAAGCAAGGAAGCAUUAGCUGCACAAGCAGAGCAGAACGUAGUUCACUUUUACCAAACACAAAAAACUGAUACCAAGACCCCAAAAUUGAAACAUCUAGGGGGACGAGUACUUUCUCCCCACUAACAGACACCUAAGUCGGAUCCGAAUCUCCUAGCCAUCAUGUGCUUAAAAAGUUUGUAAAUUGCAUGACAUGUUCUUCCUCAGGUGAGCUGAAGAGCCCCGGUGUUAUAGCCAGGAAGGCGGGGCUUCCGAGGGUGGGAUCGACAUCCACUGGCCCGUUGGGCAUCAUUUCAGUUUGCUUCAGGUAUCUCUUUCAUGCUGUUCUGUGAGUCACCACAUUUCCUGUAAAUCUUGUGUAAUCCUACCACAAAAUCCAUGAAUAAAACAAUUACGACUUCA